GUAGUCCACGCCGUAAACGAUGGAUACUAGCUGUUGGGAGCAAUCUCAGUGGCUAAGCGAAAGUGAUAAGUAUCCCACCUGGGGAGUACGAACGCAAGUUUGAAACUCAAAGGAAUUGACGGGGGCCCGCACAAGCGGUGGAGCAUGUGGUUUAAUUCGAUGAUACGCGAGGAACCUUACCAAGGCUUAAAUGGGGAGUGACAGGUGUGGAAACACGCCCUUCUUCGGACACUCUUCAAGGUGCUGCAUGGUUGUCGUCAGCUCGUGCCGUGAGGUGUCAGGUUAAGUCCUAUAACGAGCGCAACCCCUGUUGUUAGUUGCCAGCGAGUCAUGUCGGGAACUCUAACAAGACUGCCGGUGCAAACCGUGA
RNAcentral lists this ribosomal RNA (370 nucleotides) under uncultured bacterium. RNAcentral's name for it is "bacterial SSU rRNA". It matches the Rfam family "Bacterial small subunit ribosomal RNA", at positions 790 to 1167 of the family's 1533-position model. The record is from RNAcentral.